AAUCUGAGCAAGCGGUGAAUAGGUGACUAUUUCAUGCAGCCCGGCUACUAAACGUAGCAGCAGAGUGUUAAGGCACAUCUGUGAGACAG
The submitters of this non-coding RNA (89 nucleotides) gave its source as unclassified sequences. The record is from Rfam.